Molecule: long non-coding RNA, 1571 nt
Filed under: Triticum aestivum (bread wheat)
Lineage: Eukaryota; Viridiplantae; Streptophyta; Magnoliopsida; Poales; Poaceae
Description: long non-coding RNA (TAES_LNC019938)
Source: RNAcentral
UCAAACUCCUUGUGCUGCCUCAUCAACCUCACAUGAAGUAUCACCAACCAGUUGGCAUUGCCAAUGCCAACUAUAGUAGAAGUGGAACAUGGAACUAUAUAAGUUACUUGUAACAAAUAUCUAAGCAAGAUUAAAUCCAAGAUAUGAUCAACCUUGUCAAGAUCUGAACUACAACACAACAUUUGAAAUAAAACACUUGUCAGAUAAUCACCAUAAGAGCAUGGCGAUCAAUACUAUCUCAUGACUAAGAGGCACAAUUUAUUUCUACUAAUGCAAAGUGAAAAUGGAAAUAUUGCAAUGGCAUUGGAAGAGAAGUCAAGAGAUAAAUUUAAGAAAAAGAAGCAAAUUUGAUACAUGUAGAUGUACAGACCAUAUAUAGAGGUAUCGGGAAGCAUACAAUAUCUGAAUCUCAAUACAUCUUACUACAUAUGGCCAACACCAACUCAUGCUACGGCAUCAAGGCCAUCUGCCUCCCAAAAGAAAUGUCAAGGAAUGAAGUUAUUGCACUUACAUCUGCAAGAGAACCUUAAACAGUUAGCAUUUUGAUUAUUGUCAUACUGAACAUACAGAAAAUAAGAAGCUUGAUGCUCACCAAAAUGUAUUCACUCCAAUAGCUUUGCCGCAGACUUAAGGUGAAACCUAGACUAUCAUCCUUAAUUACAGUCUCCCAGACGAAUCAUCUUAUGUUUCAUUGGAAACAUCAAUAUUUCUCAUAUGAAGUAUAACUGCUACAACUGAUCUGGAUAUAGAUUUGUGUACCCUAAACAAUUUAAUAUGCAACUCGUUAUUUCUGAAAUUGGUAUUUUUCAAUGGUUUUCUGUAUAACACAAAACGACCCAGACUUGUUUUUCCUCAUUGAUUACAACUAACUACAACAUCAUUAAUUACUGCUACCUCAGUAGUACAACUUGAUCUGAGUAUAGCUAAUGAAAAGGUCGUCUACCAUAAGGCAAGUUGCCAAGUUACACCUGUCUGAGUUAGUCAGUAUAUCCUGCAAGUUAACAGAAUGCCCGCGGGGCAUAUGAUCGAGAAUGUAUGCUCCACAACCUGAACAUAUAGUGAGUAAGAAAAGAUGUUAAAUUACUGAAGAACAUCAUACGUGGUUCUGAAUAAGCGACUUUCCAUGUCCUCUACAACUCCAAACUCACUGAAUCAUUUGGUCGAGCAGCUAGAGAACAAAAAGGAAUUCUAAAGUGUAACUGUAAUCCAGUAAGCACGGGAGUCUAGGGGCCUCUUUGAUUUGUAGGAUUUCCAAAACGCGGGAAUAGGAAGAACAUGGGAUUAGAGUGGAAUGUCGUCUUGAAUCCUACAGGAUGGUACGAGUGUUUGAUUGUGCAUAGAAAAAACGCAGAAUUCUUUCAAAGGGGUUUGAGUGGAUGGGAUGUUUCCUAUGAAAUCUAGUGCAAAUGAAUCAUAUGGAAAAAUUCCUAUGGUUUACAAUCCUACGAAUCAAACAACCAAGAUAGGAAAAAUUCCUAAGGAUUAGAAUCCUCCAAAAUUCCUUCGAGAAUCCUUUGAAUCAAAGAAGCCCUAGAUGGAUACCUUGACGCAUUGAGUAGAUCAGCCUUAGA